ACGCUCGACACCUACGGAGGCAGCAGUGGGGAAUAUUGCACAAUGGGGGAAACCCUGAUGCAGCGACGCCGCGUGGAGGAAGAAGGUCUUCGGAUUGUAAACUCCUGUUGUUGGGGAAAAAGAGGAUGGUACCCAACAAGGAAGUGACGGCUAACUACGUGCCAGCAGCCGCGGUAAUCUGAGCGGGCUGCAAGGC
Molecule: ribosomal RNA, 196 nt
Filed under: uncultured bacterium
Lineage: Bacteria
Description: partial 16S ribosomal RNA
Rfam family: Bacterial small subunit ribosomal RNA
Source: RNAcentral